AAAACACUGACGCAAAGCGUUUUUACUUGAUUAAAACGGAACACCGUUUUUAGCUUCACUAUUUCUGCCCCUUCAUCCCCAUUUUCCCAUUUUUCAGUUUUAGUUUGUAUUACUCAAUUUUGUGGAUAAAGAGAUUACAAUUCUUCACUUUUAGCUUCAUUGUUCAGUUUAAUUCCUAUAUUUGAUAUAUUUGAGGUACUUGUAUCAUCUGCAUCCAAGUCUUGGUCAUCAUUACAAGCAGGAGUAGUAUAAUAAAAAGGCCCAACGACAAAUUGAGUCGUACCCCUGUAUACAACUGAAGGCUGUCUCAGCUUCACCCCUGUUUUGC
This is a long non-coding RNA of Amaranthus tricolor (Joseph's coat), 328 nucleotides long. RefSeq lists it as uncharacterized. The transcript has 3 exons. The record is from RefSeq and is a predicted model, not a curated record. NCBI's taxonomy places the organism in Eukaryota, Viridiplantae, Streptophyta, Magnoliopsida, Caryophyllales, Amaranthaceae.